Molecule: non-coding RNA, 3808 nt
Organism: Kogia breviceps (pygmy sperm whale)
Lineage: Eukaryota; Metazoa; Chordata; Mammalia; Artiodactyla; Physeteridae
Source: RefSeq, a predicted model, not a curated record
GGCAGGCCGGGCGCGCACGCUGCCAGGCUGUAUAGCCGCUCCCGCUACCGUCCGGACGGGAAGUGAGCGUACGGGGCCCGCAGCGCCAGCGAGCCGGUGAGAGCGUCCCGCAGCCGCCCGCACCCGGUGCAAAGCAUGGCGGCCUCCAAGGUGGCUUUAACCAAGAGAGCAGAUCCAGCCGAGCUUAGAACAAUAUUUUUGAAGUAUGCAAACAUUGAAAAAAAUGGUGAAUUUUUCAUGUCUCCCAAUGACUUCGUCAUUCGAUAUUUGAAUAUUUUUGGAGGAAGCCAGCCUAAUCCAAAGACUGUGGAACUUUUAAGUGGUGUGGUGGAUCAGACCAAAGAUGGAUUAAUAUCCUUUCAAGAAUUUGUGGCAUUUGAAUCUGUCCUGUGUGCCCCAGAUGCUUUGUUCGUGGUGGCCUUCCAGCUGUUUGACAAAGCUGGCAAAGGAGAAGUUACUUUUGAGGACAUUAAGCAAGUUUUUGGACAGACCACAAUUCAUCAACAUAUUCCAUUUAACUGGGAUUCAGAAUUUGUACAACUACACUUUGGAAAAGAAAGAAAAAGACACCUGACAUAUGCGGAAUUCACUCAGUUUUUACUGGAAAUACAAUUGGAGCAUGCAAAGCAAGCCUUUGUUCAAAGGGACAAUGCCAGGACUGGAAAAGUCACAGCCAUUGACUUCCGAGACAUCAUGGUCACCAUCCGCCCUCAUGUCUUGACACCUUUUGUAGAAGAAUGUCUAGUAGCUGCUGCUGGAGGUACCACGUCCCAUCAAGUUAGUUUCUCCUAUUUUAAUGGAUUUAAUUCACUCCUUAACAACAUGGAACUCAUUAGAAAGAUCUACAGCACUCUGGCUGGCAACAGGAAAGAUGUAGAGGUGACUAAGGAGGAGUUUGUUCUGGCAGCUCAGAAAUUUGGUCAGGUUACACCCAUGGAAGUUGACAUCUUGUUUCAGUUAGCAGAUUUAUAUGAGCCACGGGGACGUAUGACCUUAGCCGACAUUGAACGGAUCGCUCCUCUAGAAGAGGGAACUUUGCCCUUCAACUUGGCCGAGGCCCAGAGGCAGAAGAAGGCCUCAGUCAAUUCAUCUCGACCAAUUCUCCUACAAAUUGCAGAGUCAGCUUACAGGUUUGGUCUGGGUUCUGUUGCUGGAGCUGUUGGAGCCACCGCUGUGUACCCUAUCGAUCUGGUAAAAACUCGAAUGCAGAACCAGCGAUCUACUGGCUCUUUCGUGGGAGAACUUAUGUAUAAAAACAGCUUGGACUGUUUUAAGAAAGUGCUACGCUAUGAAGGCUUCUUUGGACUGUAUAGAGGUCUCUUGCCACAGUUAUUGGGAGUCGCCCCAGAGAAGGCCAUAAAACUUACAGUGAAUGAUUUUGUGAGGGAUAAAUUUACGCGCAAAGAUGGCUCAGUCCCACUCGCAGCAGAAAUUCUUGCUGGAGGCUGUGCAGGAGCCUCCCAGGUGAUUUUCACAAAUCCUUUGGAAAUUGUCAAGAUCCGUUUGCAGGUGGCUGGAGAGAUCACCACUGGUCCCCGAGUCAGUGCUCUGUCUGUCCUAAGGGACCUGGGCUUCUUUGGGAUCUACAAGGGUGCCAAAGCAUGCUUUCUGCGGGACAUUCCUUUCUCGGCCAUCUACUUCCCAUGCUAUGCUCAUGUGAAGGCUUCCCUUGCAAAUGAAGAUGGGCAGAUUAGCCCCGGAAGCCUGCUCUUAGCUGGCGCCAUAGCCGGAGCAUGGUGGCGAGCUUUCCUUUAGAAGCUGCCGAGGACAACGGGAACUCUCUUUCAGAAGGUGAAAGCAGAGAUUUCUCCACACUUUCGGUCUCAGCCUUUGUCCAGCCUCACUAUGCAGUGUAUGUAUCCCCUUCUGAACUAAAGAAGCAGUUCACACUUGACCUAGAACUUCAAGUUACCUGUGACCACUACUUAUAAAAAUCUUACUACUGGAUAUGCCAAAAGAAUUUCGUUGGCUGAAGAGAGAUGACAUGAAAUGGAAAGCCCAGAUCUCCAGAAAGAAAUGAAGAGAACCAGAAAAGAAGAAAGUGAAAAGCACAGGCCCCAGGCACGCGGGCCUCAGCAGUGGCGCAGACUCAGUCGUUAUGGCUCGCAGGCUCUAGAGCGCAGGCUUGGUAGUUGAGGUGCACGGGCUUAGCUGCUCCGCGGCAUGUGGGAUCCUCCUGGAACAGGGCUCGAACCGAUGUCUCCUGCAUUGACAGGUGGAUUCCCAACCACUGUGCCACCAGCUCCUGACCAAGCCCUCCCAUAAAGAACCACAAAAACAAAACAAAAGCCCAAGAAGAUACAAAAGUGAAUCAUGAUAACAUUUAUAACUUUUUCUCAUAUAAGCUUGUGGGAUCUUAGUUCCCUGAACAGGGACUGAACCCAGGCCCUCAGCAGUGAAAGCACAGAGUCCUAGCCACUGAACCACCCAGGAAUUCCUGGAAUUAUCUUGCUUUGGCGUUGCUGAGACGUGAACACAACUGUAAGACUAUUAAAGCAAUGGAAGAUUUUAGAUGGGACAUUGUAUGUGUGGGGCAGGUGGUGUGUGUGGUCUUAUUUUUAGUUUAAGAAGUACCUAAAACGAACAUGUGACAUUGAGAUCUCAAAAAGAAUUAAAUGGACAUUUAGCCUAUAGUUUUGUAUUUUAAUACCCUAUACCUCUUUUAUGCCAAAAAGUUCAUUAUAUCCCAUAUGUGCACUGUAAUUUGAAGCUAAGAUUAUCUGCCUAUUUGCUAUUUAUGUAGCUUUUUUUUCUUCCUCUCACUGCUUGGACGAGGUGAUUCAAACUACCUUCUUCAGCAAAUCUGAAUACCCAAUGACCUUAAAUUAAUAUGAUUAUAUCAUCUUUUUUUCUUAUUAAUAUAAAAAAGGCAGGGUGGAGUAGCUGCUCCUUCACUGACUACUUGUGAAUAUUAAAUUCUAAGUCUUCGUAGAAGAUUAUUCCUGCCCCAAAUUCUUGAUUUUGUAGCUAGCUAGUCACUAUUUGUUAGAGAAUAUGAGUAACACAUUUUUCUUAAAAUCAAAGAGUAGAAAAGACUUACACAUGCUUUAAAAAGUCAGUUCUCAGUAUCUUCUCUUAAUAACCCAGCUGAUAGUAUAACUGAGCACAUAGAGGUCUAGACAUAGAUGCACACAUACAUUCAAUAAACACAUAACUCAUCGUCAGUCCUUGCUUUGAUCAAUUAGAAAACUAUCUAGCUUUAAACAGUCAUCUUCUAAGGAGUUGAUAUUAUUCAAUAUGUUAAUUCUCUCAAAUUAUGCUGCUAAUCUCUAGUGUUAUUUCUUUCCUUUUUUCUUUUGGUGUCUUCCUUUUGAAGAAACUUGGUCAAAACUCUAGUAUAUCCUGGAGAUUUUGCUUUUUAAACAUCUGGAAAUAACUGCUUUGUUAAUCUUACCAAAAACCAAUUUUCUAAUGUUUAACAGUAUUGUAUUGAAAUGCUAUUAUUCCCUAGGUUUUCUUCAGCUUCCUUAUCACCUCCCACCUCCAGACUGAAGUCACUGUGCAAGUAACUCUAAGCUACAGAUUGUGCAUGUUUGGGGCAGAGAGAAGGAUUUAUAUUUUCAAAGGCUUUGUUCUAACCUUGAUAAAUUCACAGGAUGAAGAAGUCUUGGUCGAGAUUGAAGGCAUUUUUAGGGUACCAAGGGGACCAACAUCUAUGAAGCAACAGUUCCCACGUUUAGAACGGCACAUGCUAUAGGCAUAAUAAGCUAAUGCCACUCUUACAACGGUAAGCAGUGCUAUUCUGAAUAUUAAGUGCAGUUUUUUCAAUAGAGGAGUUUUCCAUUCUAUCUUAUUUGGGACUCAAAGG